RNAcentral lists this ribosomal RNA (2826 nucleotides) under Alteromonas mediterranea U8. RNAcentral's name for it is "bacterial LSU rRNA". It matches the Rfam family "Bacterial large subunit ribosomal RNA". Lineage: Bacteria; Pseudomonadati; Pseudomonadota; Gammaproteobacteria; Alteromonadales; Alteromonadaceae. The record is from RNAcentral.
CGGUGGAUGCCUUGGCAGUUAGAGGCGAUGAAGGACGUGUAAGUCUGCGAAAAGCUGUGGUGAGCCGACAAAAUGCAUUUGAGCCACAGAUGUCCGAAUGGGGAAACCCACCUGUUUACAGGUAUCGUUACUGAAUACAUAGGUAACGAGGCGAACGAGGGGAACUGAAACAUCUAAGUACCCUUAGGAAAAGAAAUCAACGAGAUUCCCCUAGUAGCGGCGAGCGAACGGGGACAGCCCUUAAGCUGUUUAGUGUAGUGGAAUCCUUUGGGAAGAGGAGCGAUACAGGUGAUAGCCCCGUACACAAAGCGUGCUUUACAGUGAAAUCGAGUAGGUCGGGACACGUGUUAUCUUGACUGAAUAUGGGGGGACCAUCCUCCAAGGCUAAAUACUCCUAACUGACCGAUAGUGAACCAGUACCGUGAGGGAAAGGCGAAAAGAACCCCUGUGAGGGGAGUGAAAUAGAACCUGAAACCGUAUACGUACAAGCAGUGGGAGCCACUUCGGGGUGACUGCGUACCUUUUGUAUAAUGGGUCAGCGACUUAUAUUUAGUAGCAAGGUUAAGGAAUACGGAGCCGUAGCGAAAGCGAGUGUUAACUGCGCGUUGAGUUGCUAGGUAUAGACCCGAAACCCGGUGAUCUAGCCAUGGGCAGGUUGAAGGUUGAGUAACAUCAACUGGAGGACCGAACCCACUACGUUGAAAAGUCAGGGGAUGACUUGUGGCUGGGGGUGAAAGGCCAAUCAAACCGGGAGAUAGCUGGUUCUCCCCGAAAUCUAUUUAGGUAGAGCCUCGGAUGAAUUCCAUUGGGGGUAGAGCACUGUUAAGGCUAGGGGGUCAUCCCGACUUACCAACCCUUUGCAAACUCCGAAUACCAAUGAGAACUAUCCGGGAGACACACGGCGGGGGCUAACGUCCGUCGUGGAGAGGGAAACAACCCAGACCGCCAGCUAAGGUCCCAAAAUAUUGCUAAGUGGGAAACGAUGUGGGAAGGCAUAGACAGCUAGGAGGUUGGCUUAGAAGCAGCCACCCUUUAAAGAAAGCGUAAUAGCUCACUAGUCGAGUCGGCCUGCGCGGAAGAUGUAACGGGGCUAAGCAAUAUACCGAAGCUGCGGCAGCAGUUUACUGCUGGGUAGGGGAGCGUUGUGUAAGUGGAUGAAGGUGAGUUGUAAAGCUUGCUGGACAUAUCACAAGUGCGAAUGCUGACAUGAGUAACGAUAAUGGGAGUGAAAAACUCCCACGCCGGAAGACCAAGGUUUCCUGUCCCAUGCUAAUCAGGGCAGGGUAAGUCGGCCCCUAAGGCGAGGCAGAAAUGCGUAGUCGAUGGGAAACGGUUAAUAUUCCGUACUUAUAUAAUCAGUGAUGGAGGGACGGAGAAGGCUAGGCAAGCUUGGCGUUGGUUGUCCAAGUGAAAGUGUGUAGGCCGAGUUAGGUAAAUCCGGUAAGCGAGACACGAGACGAGCUCCCAAGGGAGUGAAGUUGUUGAUGCCCUGCUUCCAGGAAAAGCUUCUAAACUUAUGAUUAUAUGAACCGUACCCCAAACCGACACAGGUGGUCAGGUAGAGAAUACUAAGGCGCUUGAGAGAACUCGGGUGAAGGAACUCGGCAAAAUUGUACCGUAACUUCGGGAGAAGGUACGCCUCUGUUUGUGAACACUUCGUGGUAAGCAAAUGGAGGCCGCAGUGACCAGGUGGCUGGGACUGUUUAUUAAAAACACAGCACUCUGCAAACUCGUAAGAGGACGUAUAGGGUGUGACACCUGCCCGGUGCCGGAAGGUUAAUUGAUGGGGUUAGUCUUCGGACGAAGCUCUUGAUCGAAGCCCCGGUAAACGGCGGCCGUAACUAUAACGGUCCUAAGGUAGCGAAAUUCCUUGUCGGGUAAGUUCCGACCUGCACGAAUGGUGUAACCAUGGCCACGCUGUCUCCACCCGAGACUCAGUGAAAUUGAAAUCGCAGUGAAGAUGCUGUGUACCCGCACCUAGACGGAAAGACCCCGUGAACCUUUACUACAGCUUGGCACUGAACAUUGAACCUACAUGUGUAGGAUAGGUGGGAGGCUUCGAAGCACAGUCGCUAGAUUGUGUGGAGCCGUCCUUGAAAUACCACCCUUGUAUGUUUGAUGUUCUAACAUUGGUCCCUUAUCGGGAUUGUGGACAGUGUCUGGUGGGUAGUUUGACUGGGGCGGUCUCCUCCCAAAUAGUAACGGAGGAGCACGAAGGUUAGCUAAUCACGGUCGGACAUCGUGAGGUUAGUGCAAUGGCAUAAGCUAGCUUAACUGCGAGACAGACACGUCGAGCAGGUACGAAAGUAGGUCAUAGUGAUCCGGUGGUUCUGUAUGGAAGGGCCAUCGCUCAACGGAUAAAAGGUACUCCGGGGAUAACAGGCUGAUACCGCCCAAGAGUUCAUAUCGACGGCGGUGUUUGGCACCUCGAUGUCGGCUCAUCACAUCCUGGGGCUGAAGUCGGUCCCAAGGGUAUGGCUGUUCGCCAUUUAAAGUGGUACGCGAGCUGGGUUUAGAACGUCGUGAGACAGUUCGGUCCCUAUCUGGUGUGGGCGUUGGAUGAUUGAUGGGAGCUGCUCCUAGUACGAGAGGACCGGAGUGGACGAACCGCUGGUGUUCGGGUUGUCAUGCCAAUGGCAUUGCCCGGUAGCUAUGUUCGGAACGGAUAACCGCUGAAAGCAUCUAAGCGGGAAGCCGGCCCAAAGAUGAGUCAUCCCUGACCUUUAAGGUCUGGAAGGGUUGUUAUAGACGAUGACGUUGAUAGGCAGGGUGUGGAAGCGUUGUAAGGCGUUAAGCUAACCUGUACUAAUUGCCCGAGAGGCUUAA